UACGUAGGUCCCGAGCGUUGUCUGGAUUUAUUGGGCGUAAAGCGAGCGCAGGUGGUUUAUUAAGUCUGGUGUAAAAGGCAGUGGCUCAACCAUUGUAUGCAUUGGAAACUGGUAGACUUGAGUGCAGGAGGGGAGAGUGGAAUUCCAUGUGUAGCGGUGAAAUGCGUAGAUAUAUGGAGGAACACCGGUGGCGAAAGCGGCUCUCUGGCCUGUAACUGACACUGAGGCUCGAAAGCGUGGGGAGCAAACAGG
RNAcentral lists this ribosomal RNA (252 nucleotides) under uncultured bacterium. RNAcentral describes it as "partial 16S ribosomal RNA". It matches the Rfam family "Bacterial small subunit ribosomal RNA", at positions 524 to 776 of the family's 1533-position model. The record is from RNAcentral.